RNAcentral lists this unclassified non-coding RNA (233 nucleotides) under Hevea brasiliensis (rubber tree). The record is from RNAcentral. Lineage: Eukaryota; Viridiplantae; Streptophyta; Magnoliopsida; Malpighiales; Euphorbiaceae.
GCCUUGGCUAUCCAAAGGCGCCUGGGGCUGCUCCUGGUGAGCCUUGCGCCUGGGGCGCGCCUCUUUGAUAACAGUGGUAAUGGAGUUGAAGUCAGUUGGAAGAGUUCCAAAUAGAGUACGACUACAGGUUCCACUACAGAUGCUGAGUAUAUUGCUGCAUCAAAUACUGCAAAAGAAACUGUUUGGAUAUAAGGAACCCCAAUCUCACUAGAAAUCCAAACACAUAGAAAGGC